UGGGGAAUAUUGGACAAUGGGGGCAACCCUGAUCCAGCGAUGCCGCGUGUGUGAAGAAGGCCUGCGGGUUGUAAAGCACUUUCAGUGGGGAGGAGGAUUCAUAGGUUAAGAGCUAAUGAAUUGGACGUUACCCACAGAAGAAGCACCGGCUAACUCCGUGCCAGCAGCCGCGGUAAUACGGAGGGUGCGAGCGUUAAUCGGAAUUACUGGGCGUAAAGGGUGCGUAGGCGGUUUAAUAAGUUAAGUGUGAAAGUCCUGGGCUUAACCUGGGGAAGUCAUUUAAGACUGUUAGACUAGAGUAUGGGAGAGGGUAGUGGAAUUUCCGGUGUAGCGGUGAAAUGCGUAGAGAUCGGAAGGAACAUCAGUGGCGAAGGCGGCUACCUGGCCUAAUACUGACGCUGAGGCACGAAAGCAUGGGGAGCAAACAGG
This 429-nucleotide ribosomal RNA is filed under the name uncultured bacterium. RNAcentral's name for it is "bacterial SSU rRNA". It matches the Rfam family "Bacterial small subunit ribosomal RNA", at positions 355 to 776 of the family's 1533-position model. The record is from RNAcentral.